Molecule: ribosomal RNA, 433 nt
Filed under: uncultured bacterium
Lineage: Bacteria
Description: partial 16S ribosomal RNA
Rfam family: Bacterial small subunit ribosomal RNA
Source: RNAcentral
AACGAACGCUGGCGGCAGGCUUAACACAUGCAAGUCGAGCGAGACCUUCGGGUCUAGCGGCGGACGGGUGAGUAACGCGUGGGAACGUGCCCUUCUCUACGGAAUAGCCCCGGGAAACUGGGAGUAAUACCGUAUACGCCCUUUGGGGGAAAGAUUUAUCGGAGAAGGAUCGGCCCGCGUUGGAUUAGGUAGUUGGUGGGGUAAUGGCCCACCAAGCCGACGAUCCAUAGCUGGUUUGAGAGGAUGAUCAGCCACACUGGGACUGAGACACGGCCCAGACUCCUACGGGAGGCAGCAGUGGGGAAUCUUAGACAAUGGGGGCAACCCUGAUCUAGCCAUGCCGCGUGAGUGAUGAAGGCCUUAGGGUUGUAAAGCUCUUUCAGCUGGGAAGAUAAUGACGGUAUCAGCAGAAGAAGCCCCGGCUAACUCCGUG